Molecule: non-coding RNA, 690 nt
Organism: Dama dama (fallow deer)
Lineage: Eukaryota; Metazoa; Chordata; Mammalia; Artiodactyla; Cervidae
Source: the annotation of a RefSeq genome assembly
GAUGAAAUCCUCAAGAGUUUUAUUAGUGAUCCUGUGGCUUCAGUUAAUCUAAUCGGUCUUCCUGAAGCCUGAGAUUACCUGCAGUAUCAUAUUUGGCCUCUAGAGGGAGAUGCUACACAACUUGAACGUGAUGGAAAGCCAGAAAGCCACCAGCCCUUUGAGGAAGAGCUUUUACUUUGCUUGCCCUGUAAAUCCACUCACUGCUCUGUCAGGGUGUCCAUGUGGCUGAAUUGUUUCCAGGAAAAACCUGCAGAAAGGAGCCUCCUGCUUCCUCAGAGCUCAGACAUGAUGCGCACCCUCAUCUCAGUGCUUGUGACGAUAUUCACACUUGGAGGAACAAGAGCCCAGACAAUGACUCAGCCUGAGAGGCACAUCUCUGUGUCUAAAGGGGACCCAGUGCAGGUGAAGUGCAGCUAUUCGUAUUCUGGGAGUCCUUGGCUCUUCUGGUAUGUCCAGUACCCCAGAGAGCGCCUCCAGUUACUUCUGAAACACUCCUCAAGAGAGAGCAUCCAGGGUUUCACCGCUGACCUCAACCAGGCUGAGGCAUCCUUCCAUCUGAAAAAACCCUCAGCUCAGGAGGAAGACUCAGCUGUGUAUUACUGUGCUCUGGGUAACACAGUACCUGGCUUCACAAGAGAAGCAGAGCUCAAAUCCCUUACAGAAAGCAAUUCCAUGUUCCUUAUUUGACCA